AUGGGGCAAUCUCUAAAUUACAAUGCAGCUAUGAAUAACAGCGGCUCUCAGGCCCUUGUUUUUGCUGGGAGCUGCGACCCGGAAUCACUGGCCUUGGGCAAUGUCAAGGGCAAAACCGUCCUUUGUUAUGCACCAGAAGAGGCAUCGCGGUGGUCGCCCCAGUUAAUACUCCCUUAUGCCAUCAAUUACACUAUUGAGGCCGGUGCAAAGGGCCUCAUCUUCGCACAAUACACCGCCAACAAUCUUGACAGCCUGGUCGGGUGCGAGGGAUUUAUGCCUUGCGCUCUGGUGGAUUUCGAGAUCGCACAUCGAAUUUUCUCCUACUGGGACAUGACUGAGAAUCCGGUGGUGAUGGUGUCUCCGGCUGUAAGUGUUGUUGGAAAUGGGGUGUUGUCGCCGAGGGUCGCCUCGUUCUCCUCCAGAGAUCCAAGCCUAUUGUUCCCUGGCAUACUGAAGCCCGACAUUACUGCUCCUGGCGUCAACAUAUUGGCAGCGGUGCGCGGCUCCUACGUGUUCUAUUCUGGGACAUCAAUGGCGUGCCCACAUGUCUCCGCAGUGACUGCGAUGCUCAAGUCGGUUCACCCUCAGUGGUCACCUGCCAUGAUCAAAUCGGCCAUCGUCACCACAGCAUAUGUGACCGAUCGUUUUGGCAUGCCAAUCCAAGCAGAAGCAGUCCCAAGGAAACUAGCCGACCCCUUCGACUUUGGUGGUGGACACAUUGACCCAAAUAGAGCCGUUGACCCUGGCUUGGUUUACGACGUUGAUGCAAGGGGGUACAACAAGUUUUUCAACUGCACCCUUGGAUAUUUAGGCGGCUGUGAGUCCUACUACCUCAAUCUCAACCUUCCGUCAAUUGCCGUGCCAGACCUCAAGGACCGUGUCAUGCUUCGGCGCACCGUGACUAACAUUGGGCCAGCGGAAGCAACAUAUCAUUUAGUGGUUGAAGCUCCAGCGGGGAUAGACGUGUCCGUAGAGCCAUCUGUGAUCAAUUUCACCCAAAGCACUAGUAAAAGUGUGACGUUUAUGGUGACAUUCACAACAAGGCAGAGAGUACAAGGAGGAUACACUUUUGGGAGCUUGACAUGGUCAGACGGAAGUACCCACUCAGUGAGAAUUCCUAUUGCGGUACGGACUGUGAUACAAGACUUUGUUGCAGAUACAUCUUAA
This 1167-nucleotide ribosomal RNA is filed under the name Triticum aestivum (bread wheat). RNAcentral's name for it is "partial small subunit ribosomal RNA". Lineage: Eukaryota; Viridiplantae; Streptophyta; Magnoliopsida; Poales; Poaceae. The record is from RNAcentral.